GAUGAACGCUGGCGGCGUGCCUAAUACAUGCAAGUCGAGCGGACGGACGAGAAGCUUGCUUUUCUGAUGUUAGCGGCGGACGGGUGAGUAACACGUGGAUACCCUACCUAUAAGACUGGGAUCACUUCGGGACACCGGAGCUAAUACCGGAUAAUCUUUUGCACCGCAUGGUUCAAAAGUGAAAGACGGUCUUGCUGUCACUUCUAGCUGGAUCCGCGCUGCAUUAGCUAGUUGGUAAGGUAACGGGUUACCAAGGCAACGAUGCAUAGCCGACCGCAGAGGGUGAUCGGCGGCACUGGAACGGAGACAGGGACCAGACUCCUACGGGAGGCAGCAGUAUGGAAUCGGCCGCAAUAGGCGGAAGCAUGACGGAACAACGCCGCGUGAGUGAUGGAGGUCUUCGGAUCGUAAAGCUCUGUUAUGAGGUAAGAACAGAUGUGGAAGUAAAUGUGCACAUCGUGACGGUACCGAAUCAGAAAGCCACGGCUAACUACGUG
Molecule: ribosomal RNA, 497 nt
Filed under: uncultured bacterium
Lineage: Bacteria
Description: partial 16S ribosomal RNA
Rfam family: Bacterial small subunit ribosomal RNA
Source: RNAcentral